GGCCGGGGGCAACCCUGGCCAUAAGACAAAAUUGGAACGAUACAGAGAAGAUUAGCAUUGCCCCUGCAUAAGGAUGACAAACUCUGAGCGGAGAGGUGGUUCGUAAGAACCAGUUAUUU
RNAcentral lists this small nuclear RNA (119 nucleotides) under Kwoniella heveanensis BCC8398. The record is from RNAcentral. Lineage: Eukaryota; Fungi; Basidiomycota; Tremellomycetes; Tremellales; Cryptococcaceae.